RNAcentral lists this long non-coding RNA (1340 nucleotides) under Phasianus colchicus (ring-necked pheasant). RNAcentral describes it as "lncRNA (ENSPCLG00000019001.1)". The record is from RNAcentral. Lineage: Eukaryota; Metazoa; Chordata; Aves; Galliformes; Phasianidae.
GUCCUUCUGGGUCUCUAUGGGUCUCUAUGAGUCCCUAGGGUUCCUAUAGGGCUCUAUGGGCCUCUAUGGGUCCUUAUCGGUCUCUAUGGGGCUCUAUGGGGCUCUGUGGGUCUCUAUGGGUCCCUAUGUGUCCCUAUGGGUCUUUAUGGGAUCUGUGGGUCUCUAUUGGGUCCCUAUGUGUCCCUAUGGGUCUCUAUGGGUCUCUAUGGGUCCCUAUGGGGCUCUGUGGGUCCCUAUGGGUCUCUAUGUGUCCCUAUGGGUCUCUAUGGGUCUCUAUGUGUCCCUAUGGGUCUCUAUGGGUCUCUAUGGGUCGCUAUGGGUCUCUAUGUGUCCCUAUGGGUCUCUAUGUGUCUCUAUGGGUCUCUAUGGGGCUCUAUGGGUCUCUAUGGGUCUCUAUUGGUCCCUAUGAGUCUCUAUGGGUCUCUAUUGGUCCCUAUGAGUCUCUAUGGGGCUCUAUGGGUCUCUAUGGGGCUCUAUGGGUCUCUAUGGGUCUCUGUGCGUCUCUAUGGGUCUCUAUGGGUCUGUAUUGGUGUCUGUGGGUCCCUAUGGGUACCUGUGGGUCCUUAUCAGUCUCUAUAGGGCUCUAUGGGUCUCUAUGGGUCUCUAUGGGUCUCUAUAGGGCUCUGUGGGUCUCUAUGGGUCCGUAUGGGUCCCUAUGGGUCUUUAUGGGAUCUGUGGGUCUCUAUUGGGUCCCUAUGGGUCCCUAUGGGUCCCUAUGGGUCUCUAUGGGUCUCUAUGUGUCCCUAUGGGUCGCUGUGGGUCCCCGUGUGUCCCUAUGGGUCUCUAUGGGUCCCCCUGUGUCCCCCUGUGUCCCUAUGGGUCCCCAUGUGUCCCUAUGGGUCGCUGUGUCCCCCUGUGUCCCUAUGGGUCUCAAUGUGUCCCUAUGGGUCGCUGUGUCCCCGUGUCCCUAUGGGUCCCCAUGUGUCCCUAUGUGUCCCCCUGUGUCCCCGUGUCCCUAUGGGCGGCCAUGGGUCCCGCAGACGUUCGGGCGCCGCGCUCUGCCCGCCCUGCACUGGCUUUUCCCGCUGGCCGUCACCUUGUCCACCUUCGGCGGCGUCAACGGAUCCCUGUUCACCUGCUCCAGGUCUGCCCCAUAGCCGCCCCAUAGCCGCCCCAUAGCCACCCCAUAGCCACCCCAUGGCCGCCCCAUAGCUGCCCCAUAGAGACCCCAUAGAUACCCCAUAGCUGCCCCACAGCCGCCCCAUAGAUACCCCAUAACUGCCCCAUAGAUACCCCAUAGCUGCCCCAUAGCCGCCCCAUAGCUGCCCUAUAGCUGCCUCAUGGCUGCCCCACGGCUGCCCCACAGCUGCCCCAUAACUGCCCCAUAGCCGCCCCAUGGC